This 85-nucleotide transfer RNA is filed under the name Plasmodium vivax North Korean. RNAcentral's name for it is "tRNA-Leu". The record is from RNAcentral. Lineage: Eukaryota; Apicomplexa; Aconoidasida; Haemosporida; Plasmodiidae.
GCUCCUAUGGUGAAAUUGGUAAACACGGUAGCCUCAAAAGCUACUGAUUUAAACGAUCUUCUCAGUUCGAGUCUGAGUAGGAGCA